CUCUGAUCAGCUGGGAUGUACAGACCGUCCGACUGAGGGUAAGGUUACUAUGAGAGCAGCAGCUGUGAGCCGCACGGAACCAGCCCAACACCGCGCUCACCCAGCAGAGCAGCGAGAGGAUCCAGUGACGUGUUCAGAGUGGUUGGUGAUUCUGUUCAGCUGGAGAUAAAUGGAUCUGUAUCAGAGUUUGAUGAGUUUUUCUGGGUGUUUAGUGGAUCUGUUCCUGUUCUAAAAUAUUAUAAACAAUAUAAAGAUAUUAAGCCCUCCCCCCCUUAUAAAGACAGAGUGGAGUUUAUUGAGGAAACCUGCAGCCUGACCCUGAAGAAUCCACAGAAGACUGAUAAUGGACUGUAUGAAGUAAAAGCAUCCAAUACAGAAAAGACAACUACAUUAUGUGCGCAUCGACUCUCUGUUUUAGAUGCAGUGUCGCCCCCUGCUGGUGGAUCUGUGUGUUUAGUGAAGACUGGACUGUAUUCCAUCAUUCUGAUCACCAAUCACAUCCGAGAGAGACGCAACAAAUCAUCCAAAACUCAUUAAUUUUCAGUGAUUAUUAUUCUGAUCAUAGUUCUGUUAUUAUGGUCUGGAGUAAAAAAUCAGUUUAAACACUCCUCUCUUUAAUUUAUCACAUGAUAGCAGCGGUUUUAUAGAUUCAAAUUUGACUGAAACGAUUGUGUUCACAAUUUCUUUAAUUCAAGUGAAAGAUUUCUUUAU
This is a long non-coding RNA of Astyanax mexicanus (Mexican tetra), 711 nucleotides long. RefSeq lists it as uncharacterized. NCBI's taxonomy places the organism in Eukaryota, Metazoa, Chordata, Actinopteri, Characiformes, Acestrorhamphidae. The transcript has 3 exons. The record is from RefSeq and is a predicted model, not a curated record.